Molecule: ribosomal RNA, 440 nt
Filed under: uncultured bacterium
Lineage: Bacteria
Description: partial 16S ribosomal RNA
Rfam family: Bacterial small subunit ribosomal RNA
Source: RNAcentral
CCUACGGGUGGCAGCAGUAGGGAAUAUUGCUCAAUGGGGGAAACCCUGAAGCAGCAACGCCGCGUGGAGGAUGAAGGUUUUCGGAUUGUAAACUCCUUUUGUUAGAGAAGAUAAUGACGGUAUCUAACGAAUAAGCACCGGCUAACUCCGUGCCAGCAGCCGCGGUAAUACGGAGGGUGCAAGCGUUACUCGGAAGUACUGGGCGUAAAGAGCGCGGAGGCGGGAUAGCAAGUCAGAUGUGAAAUCCUAUGGCUUAACCAUAGAACUGCAUUUGAAACUGGUAUUCUAGAGUAUGGGAGAGGUAGGUGGAAUGCUUGGUGUAGGGGUAAAAUGCGUAGAGAUCAGGAGGAAUACUGAUUGCGAAGGCGACCUGCUAGAACAUAACUGACGCGGAUGCGCGAAAGCGUGGGGAGCAAACAGGAUUAGAUACCCUAGUAGUC